This 253-nucleotide ribosomal RNA is filed under the name uncultured bacterium. Its description in RNAcentral is "partial 16S ribosomal RNA". It matches the Rfam family "Bacterial small subunit ribosomal RNA", at positions 524 to 776 of the family's 1533-position model. The record is from RNAcentral.
UACGUAGGGGGCGAGCGUUGUUCGGAAUUAUUGGGCGUAAAGGGUGCGUAGGCGGUUUGAUAAGUCUGAUGUGAAAUCUAUGGGCUCAACCCAUAGCCUGCAUUAGAAACUGUCGGGCUUGAGUAUGGGAGAGGUGAGUGGAAUUUCCGGUGUAGCGGUGAAAUGCGUAGAUAUCGGAAGGAACACCUGCGGCGAAAGCGGCUCACUGGACCAUUACUGACGCUGAUGCACGAAAGCUAGGGGAGCAAACAGG